ACGCACGCUGGCGGCGUGCUUAACACAUGCAAGUCGAACGGAAAGGCCCAGCUUUUGUGGGGUGCUCGCGUGGCGAACGGGUGAGUAACACGUGAGUAACCUGCCCUUGACUUUGGGAUAACUUCAGGAAACUGGGGCUAAUACCGGAUAGGAGCUCCUGCUGCAUGGUGGGGGUUGGAAAGUUUCGGCGGUUGGGGAUGGACUCGCGGCUUAUCAGCUUGUUGGUGGGGUAGUGGCUUACCAAGGCUUUGACGGGUAGCCGGCCUGAGAGGGUGACCGGCCACAUUGGGACUGAGAUACGGCCCAGACUCCUACGGGAGGCAGCAGUGGGGAAUAUUGCACAAUGGGCGGAAGCCUGAUGCAGCAACGCCGCGUGCGGGAUGACGGCCUUCGGGUUGUAAACCGCUUUCGCCUGUGACGAAGCGUGAGUGACGGUAAUGGGUAAAGAAGCACCGGCUAACUACGUG
This 467-nucleotide ribosomal RNA is filed under the name uncultured bacterium. Its description in RNAcentral is "partial 16S ribosomal RNA". It matches the Rfam family "Bacterial small subunit ribosomal RNA", at positions 29 to 507 of the family's 1533-position model. The record is from RNAcentral.